This 939-nucleotide long non-coding RNA is filed under the name Homo sapiens (human). RNAcentral describes it as "HSALNT0325748". The record is from RNAcentral. Lineage: Eukaryota; Metazoa; Chordata; Mammalia; Primates; Hominidae.
GCUCUACUGACCCUUCAAUGUGCCCGUGUGCCUAAAUAUUCCUGGUCGUGUGAAAAGAACCCAGGUAUUAGCUGAACUAAGGAGCACAAUUCUGCAACAUUUUGGCACCCAAACACGGGGCUUGAGAAAUGAAUGCAAUUGGAGAAACUGGUUGUUUUACCAGGCGUUGAUUGGAAAUGUGUGCUUCCCUUUAAGCAGUCAAGCUCAACUUGCAGAACUGAUGGGAACCCCUUGGGAAAACUGGCCUCAAAUGUUUGUCUACACAGUCCACAUACAGGGUUCUUAACCUGCGUUUUUACCUACAUUUUAGACUGACCCUGCUUGUGCCUGUGAACCAACCAACAAUCUCUGGCUGCAGCUCAGAAAGGACAAAAGAGAAUGGCAUAUUUAACUAUCCGGCUAUUUUGGAGAUUGAAAAAAGAAGACCUGAUUUAUCAUGUGCAAUAUCUCACACAUCUGUCAUUUCUAUUCUACCGCAAUUCGAUGGAGUCUUGUUCUGUGGUCCAGGCUAGAGGGCAGUGGCAUGAUCUCGGCUCACUACAAGCUCUGCCUCCCGGGUUCACGCCAUUCUCCUGCCUCAGCCUCCUGAGUAGCUGGGACUACAGGCGCCCGCCACCACGCCUGGCUAAUUUUUUGUAUAUUUACUAGAGAUGGCUAGUGUUAGCCAAGAUGGUCUCGAUCUCCUGACCUCGUGAUCUGCCCACCUCAGCCUGCCAAAGUGCUGGGAUUACUGGCGUGAGCCACCGUGCCUGGCCAGCAUCCUCUAAUUAUUAUUCAUAGUUUGUGAAUUUAGGCCUACGUGAAUAAUAAUAUAAUAUUUACUAUGAUGUUACUAUCUACCAACCUUAUUUUUCUUUUCUAUAAAAUAGGAGCCAAAAUAAUAUUUAUGUCAUACCUUAUGAAGUUAAAAUAAAAUAUAACGAAUGAGGGGCUUAACAA